Long non-coding RNA from Rhinopithecus roxellana (golden snub-nosed monkey), 549 nucleotides. RefSeq lists it as uncharacterized. The transcript is spliced from 3 exons. NCBI's taxonomy places the organism in Eukaryota, Metazoa, Chordata, Mammalia, Primates, Cercopithecidae. The record is from RefSeq and is a predicted model, not a curated record.
AAUUCUCAGGCAAUACCUACUCCCUGCCAAAGGAGAACCCAGUUACUGAACAUCGGAUCAGACCAUGGAUAGUAAAUUGGAAGUGAAGGUUCAUACCUGGGUCUCAGAAGCACAGUACAGGAAUGCAGACAUCAGUACUACUCAAAGUGUGGUCCCAUAUUGAUCCAUAUUGAUCAACUGUCAUUGGCUGAUGGAGAGUUAUACCAGCCUGAGUACGACAGCAACAUUCCCUCAGGGAUUAAAGAAAACGCUUCAGAAGACUGGAACACUGCUCAGCCUUCCCAAACUUCUUUCACCACUGAUGUUUCUACCUUCGUGAUCUUCCUCCUAUUUUAGUGCCUCUUUUUCUUUACACUUAAAAGUUCACAAAAUCUUUCAACAUUAUUUUUCACUAUAAAAGUUUGAAGUUCUCUGUGAAAUGCCUACUAUGUAAGAAUUAAGAUAGAUUUUAAAGAUUGUUAGUCUCGAAACUGCAUGCUCAUCAGUUAGUGCAUGAUAUUAAAUUAUGCUUUUUUCCUCCUUUUAAAUAUACCAACAUUAUAUUGCUGA